Molecule: ribosomal RNA, 1693 nt
Filed under: Escherichia coli
Lineage: Bacteria; Pseudomonadati; Pseudomonadota; Gammaproteobacteria; Enterobacterales; Enterobacteriaceae
Description: bacterial LSU rRNA
Rfam family: Bacterial large subunit ribosomal RNA
Source: RNAcentral
GAAGGUGUGCUGUGAGGCAUGCUGGAGGUAUCAGAAGUGCGAAUGCUGACAUAAGUAACGAUAAAGCGGGUGAAAAGCCCGCUCGCCGGAAGACCAAGGGUUCCUGUCCAACGUUAAUCGGGGCAGGGUGAGUCGACCCCUAAGGCGAGGCCGAAAGGCGUAGUCGAUGGGAAACAGGUUAAUAUUCCUGUACUUGGUGUUACUGCGAAGGGGGGACGGAGAAGGCUAUGUUGGCCGGGCGACGGUUGUCCCGGUUUAAGCGUGUAGGCUGGUUUUCCAGGCAAAUCCGGAAAAAAAAGGCUGAGGCGUGAUGACGAGGCACUACGGUGCUGAAGCAACAAAUGCCCUGCUUCCAGGAAAAGCCUCUAAGCAUCAGGUAACAUCAAAUCGUACCCCAAACCGACACAGGUGGUCAGGUAGAGAAUACCAAGGCGCUUGAGAGAACUCGGGUGAAGGAACUAGGCAAAAUGGUGCCGUAACUUCGGGAGAAGGCACGCUGAUAUGUAGGUGAAGACCCUCGCGGAUGGAGCUGAAAUCAGUCGAAGAUACCAGCUGGCUGCAACUGUUUAUUAAAAACACAGCACUGUGCAAACACGAAAGUGGACGUAUACGGUGUGACGCCUGCCCGGUGCCGGAAGGUUAAUUGAUGGGGUAAGCGCAAGCGAAGCUCUUGAUCGAAGCCCCGGUAAACGGCGGCCGUAACUAUAACGGUCCUAAGGUAGCGAAAUUCCUUGUCGGGUAAGUUCCGACCUGCACGAAUGGCGUAAUGAUGGCCAGGCUGUCUCCACCCGAGACUCAGUGAAAUUGAACUCGCUGUGAAGAUGCAGUGUACCCGCGGCAAGACGGAAAGACCCCGUGAACCUUUACUAUAGCUUGACACUGAACAUUGAGCCUUGAUGUGUAGGAUAGGUGGGAGGCUUUGAAGUGUGGACGCCAGUCUGCAUGGAGCCGACCUUGAAAUACCACCCUUUAAUGUUUGAUGUUCUAACGUUGACCCGUAAUCCGGGUUGCGGACAGUGUCUGGUGGGUAGUUUGACUGGGGCGGUCUCCUCCUAAAGAGUAACGGAGGAGCACGAAGGUUGGCUAAUCCUGGUCGGACAUCAGGAGGUUAGUGCAAUGGCAUAAGCCAGCUUGACUGCGAGCGUGACGGCGCGAGCAGGUGCGAAAGCAGGUCAUAGUGAUCCGGUGGUUCUGAAUGGAAGGGCCAUCGCUCAACGGAUAAAAGGUACUCCGGGGAUAACAGGCUGAUACCGCCCAAGAGUUCAUAUCGACGGCGGUGUUUGGCACCUCGAUGUCGGCUCAUCACAUCCUGGGGCUGAAGUAGGUCCCAAGGGUAUGGCUGUUCGCCAUUUAAAGUGGUACGCGAGCUGGGUUUAGAACGUCGUGAGACAGUUCGGUCCCUAUCUGCCGUGGGCGCUGGAGAACUGAGGGGGGCUGCUCCUAGUACGAGAGGACCGGAGUGGACGCAUCACUGGUGUUCGGGUUGUCAUGCCAAUGGCACUGCCCGGUAGCUAAAUGCGGAAGAGAUAAGUGCUGAAAGCAUCUAAGCACGAAACUUGCCCCGAGAUGAGUUCUCCCUGACUCCUUGAGAGUCCUGAAGGAACGUUGAAGACGACGACGUUGAUAGGCCGGGUGUGUAAGCGCAGCGAUGCGUUGAGCUAACCGGUACUAAUGAACCGUGAGGCUUAACCUU